GCUACACAUGCAAGUCGAGCGGUAGAGAGAAGCUUGCUUCUCUUGAGAGCGGCGGACGGGUGAGUAAUACCUARGAAUCUGCCUGAUASUGGGGGAUAACGUUCGGAAACGGACGCUAAUACCGCAUACRUCCUACGGGAGAAAGCAGGGGACCUUCGGGCCUUGCGCUAUCAGAUGASCCUAGGUCGGAUUAGCUAGUUGGUGAGGUAAUGGCUCACCAAGGCUACGAUCCGUAACUGGUCUGAGAGGAUGAUCAGUCACACUGGAACUGASACACGGUCCAGACUCCUACGGGAGGCAGCAGUGGGGAAUAUUGGACAAUGGGCGAAAGCCUGAUCCARCCAUGCCGCGUGUGUGAASAAGGUCUUCKGAUUGUAAAGCACUUUAAGUUGGGAGGAAGGGCRUUAACCUAAUACGUUGGUGUCUUGACGUUACCGACAGAAUAAGCACCGGCUAACUCUGUGCCAGCAGCCGCGGUAAUACAGAGGGUGCAAGCGUUAAUCGGAAUUACUGGGCGUAAAGCGCGCGUAGGUGGUUUGUUAAGUUGAAUGUGAAAUCCCCGGGCUCAACCUGGGAACUGCAUCCAAAACUGGCAAGCUA
This 600-nucleotide ribosomal RNA is filed under the name bacterium SBF-A12-dsp. RNAcentral describes it as "bacterial SSU rRNA". It matches the Rfam family "Bacterial small subunit ribosomal RNA", at positions 48 to 643 of the family's 1533-position model. The record is from RNAcentral.